CUCAGCUGGAUAGAGCAUCGGAUUUCGAUUCCGAGGGUCGGGAGUUCGAAUCUCUCGCCGCCUACCA
Molecule: transfer RNA, 67 nt
Filed under: Bradyrhizobium sp.
Lineage: Bacteria; Pseudomonadati; Pseudomonadota; Alphaproteobacteria; Hyphomicrobiales; Nitrobacteraceae
Description: tRNA-Arg
Rfam family: tRNA
About the family: Transfer RNA (tRNA) molecules are approximately 80 nucleotides in length. Their secondary structure includes four short double-helical elements and three loops (D, anti-codon, and T loops).
Source: RNAcentral